GAUGAAGAACGCAGCGAAAUGCGAUAAGUAAUGUGAAUUGCAGAAUUCAGUGAAUCAUCGAAUCUUUGAACGCACCUUGCGCUCCUUGGUAUUCCGAGGAGCAUGCCUGUUUGAGUGUCAUUAAUUUCUCAACCUCACCAGCUUUUGCUGAGUGCAGGCUUGGAUGUGGGGGUUGCAGGUCCGCUAACGUGGUCUGCUCCUCUGAAAUGUAUUAGUGGGUUGGGCCCCUAAUCUAUUGGUGUGAUAAUUAUCUACGCCGUGGAUUUGGGUGGCUGACUUAGACCCGCUUCUAACCGUCCUUCACCGGACAACUCUUGACAAUUUUGACCUCAAAUCAGGUAAGACUACCCGCUGAACUUAAGCAUAUCAAUAAGCGGAGGA
RNAcentral lists this unclassified non-coding RNA (381 nucleotides) under soil metagenome. Its description in RNAcentral is "partial contains 5.8S ribosomal RNA, internal transcribed spacer 2, and large subunit ribosomal RNA". The stretch from base 1 to 120 matches the Rfam family "5.8S ribosomal RNA", at positions 35 to 154 of the family's 154-position model. The record is from RNAcentral.